CCUCACAGGGAAGAACUUCUGCCUUAUAUCCAACCUGAAUUUCCCCUGUUUCAGUUUGAGAUAAUCUCUGUUUGAUAGGUACUGACAGACCCGUUUGGUUUUUUUUUUUACUGUGUUUUGUUUUGCUUUUGCCAAACUUUGUUACUCUUUGUAAUUUUGUGGGUUCUUGUGGACUCAGGUGUAAAAACUAUGGAAGAUUAUUUUAGGUGUCACUGAAAUGAGCAUUGAUGCUGGCUACCUAUUUCUUCCAUUAUUAGUAUCAGCUUUUCCACAUCUAUUUCUGUACAAGUAGUUGACGUUUCUAGAGCUUUUUCUACAUUUUUUCAGGAACUUGGGAGACUGAACAUCUCCAGUGCUUUAUGUUCUUAUGACAGUUCACGAAUGGGGCAUGUGCCCUCCUGAAAAUCAAGGCCAUACCAUAUUAUGGCUGAGGUCUUUGUUAUGAAUCACCUUACAGAAAAGGUGGGCUGCUUUACCUGUUUGUGACACAACUGCAUCUGUACAGACCUAUUCCUGGAAUUGAAAUAGUCACACAAAGAAAAGUUCUGCAGAAUCUUGCUUUCUGCUGAUCUUCUUUCUCAGCCUCUAACACAAAUGGUUGAAUCAUUGACAUUGAAGAGCUGACCUUUCAUACAUGCAAAUUUGAGGAUUGAUCAUUGAAAUUGAAUCCAUACAGUCCCAUUUUGAUAUAAAAUGCUGCAGGGUUUUUACACUACAGCAGCAUCAAAAUUUCAUUUGCUUGGCAAAUUCUUACGAAACAAAGUCAUAAGAUAACAAUCACAGUUAAAACCCCUUCUCUUUCUGGUGGUUUUCUCCAGUAGCAUUUGUUACCUUACUGAAAUUUUGCUUCUAAUGCUGGCUUUUUUCUAAACUCUGGCACAUUCCUAUGGGUAUGUGGAAUAAGCUACUGUAUUAGUAGUGGGUUAGUGUGGUGGAUUUAUUCUAUUCAAGUUGUUCACAAAAAGUAGUGUGUUAAAUAAGACAAAUCCAUGAGUUCUUUUGACAACUUGUGGUUACAUGAGGGCUUUUGAAAUGAUUUCCCCCAUCAGAAUGUCAUUUUAAUGAGAACUCAGAGCAGAAAUAAUGAAAUAUUUCAUUUCAAUAAUGGUGAAAAAUAGGCUGUGCUUACUUGAAAAGAGUUUUAAGCUGAAGCAAAAUGCAAGCAAUAGUGUUGGGUUAAAGGGUGUUGAUCAGUCGCCAGUGCAUCUGUCCUUUCCAGUGUUCAGAUCUGCAUAGAAUCAGAGAAUCACAGAAUGGUUUGGGUGGGAAGGUUUAAAGGUCAUCUACUCCAACCCCUGCCAUGACUAGGGGCAUCUUCCAGAACAUGCCUUUUCAAAUGCAGAAUGCUCUGCAGUGCUGUCAGAAGACGGGGUCCUACCUGCAUGACUGUGUGUGGAGAAGGUGAGCUUAAGCUGGUGAGGAAAUGAAUGGAUUUACUCCAUGUGACUAUGGGAGAGGAGGUUGUGGCAUACACAUUCAUGCAAAAAGCCAGAGCAGGAGCAGAUGGGAGCCAGCAUUCCCAUCGGGGAUUUUGGGGGUUCCCUAGUAUUUCUGAGGAAGGGAAGCGAGUACUGACCUGCAUUAUGCAGAGAUGGGUUGGUGAAGCAGAACUGAGGAGAAAACAGCCUAGAUCCAUACUUUCCUUUUUUUUCCUUUUAUAAGCUCUUCAGCCCCUGCUCUGAAGUGUUGCAGGGUUUUGUGAGACACCUUGUGCUAUGGGUUUCAUUCUUCUGGAAAGUGUUUCGAUGGCAAGGGCAGACUUGUGCUCUGCAGCUUCUCAACACUGUCUGCAAGGCCCUGCAGAUAAUGUUCUGGCAACCAACCAGCCUUAUUUCCUUUCUAUUCCUGGUGCUGUGAAUGAGCAGCAAGGGCAGAAGCAACAGGAAAAAACAUCCUUUCUCUUCCUUAUGUGAUUUUUACAGCUUUCCCACAUACUUUGGUAGCAUCAGAGGCAAGUCACUGGGUCUGCGGUCUUGGUCUUACUUGUGGUCAAAUUUCAGUUUACCAGUUCUGAGUAAGUACAGAGAUCUCUUGUGGUCUUUCUUCACUUUGAUUAAGAUACUUUUGUGUUACUAUUAGCUGGUACCGCUCUUUCUAUUUGUGUGUGAUGGUGACAGGUUCAACGUCAGGGAGGGACCUUCUCUUGGAUCUAGCUGCCCAAACCACAAUACUUCUAUGGAGAUACUUUAAGAAGGGCAAAGUCCCUGUGUGAAGAAGACAAGCUUUUCAUGCUGACAUCUCUACCAAUUGUUCCAAUCGCAGUCCCAUGUACAAAAGUCUCUUCCUGAACUUGGCUGUUUGGAAAAUGCUGAUCAAAUGCCCCUGGCCUCUUUGGAGCAGAAGAGUGGAUCUGGUAACGUCAAUCUUCACACAGCCUCUUGUCUUACAGGUUGCUAGCAGCACAGAAAGUACCUUUUCUGAGGUUUUCAUAUCUGUGGAAACAGAUCAGAAUCUUGCAGAUCAGGUUCUUGAUUACUUGCUGUAGUUGCUAAAAGCAAAAGCAAGGAAACAAACAUCUUCUUGGAAUUUUCCAGAAUUCUUAGUGCCUCUGUAGUUUUCAUUUUGCAAGACCUGAAAUCACAAGCAGCUUGCAGCGUGCAGUUACUGCACUAAAUAAUGCUAAAUGAAUGCUAACUGCAUGCAACAAGAACCUCCAUACAUCAGGGCUGUGUUAUGGUAAGAUGACUGCAGAUACCACCAGCACUACAUCACCUUUGAAAGGUCUUAUCAGUUAUGCAAGUGGAGAAAUCUCACCACAGUUACAUUGACUAUUCAUUUCCAGCCUCCCACUUAAAAGCUUCUUUCAUACCCAGAGUAGCAAAGUCCUGUUGAGUUCUCUGUAGGAUUUGCCUGAAAUAGUGUUUUAAUGAUCAUUUUGAUUGGCAUUACUAAAUGGCCCUUGAUUUCUGUAAAUCAAGUCAAAUGGGCGUAUUUGCAUAACAGAUGGGAGUUGAUGAGGUUGCUCUGGGGCUGUGUUAAGAGAGAGAGGUAGGAUAAAAGUGGGGAAAAAUUAAGAGGUCCUGGAGGAAAAUGUGUGCAUGUAGAUCCCUGCUGGAAGCAUCCUAGUGUUGGGAGGAGCACUGUAGUGGCUGUUGGAUGGUACUCUCUUUCAGACCAAGUGUGCAAAGCUGGUGCUGAGGCAGUGGCAAGCAGCAAUAGUAUAGGAAGGAGAACAGCAAUUCCUGCCUGGCACAUAGACUCAGAGGAGCAGAUUGGGAGGAGGCUGCUGACCAUAAUGCUUCUUUUGCACAGUCAUAGGAUCAUAGAAUCAUAGAAUGUUUUGGGUUGGAAAGGACCUUAAGUUUCAACCCCCUGCCAUGGGCAGGGACACCUUCCACUAGACCAUGUCACCAAAGGCUCUGUCCAACCUGGCCUUUAACACUGCCAGGGAUGGGGCAUUUACCACUACCCUGGGCACGCUGUGCCAGCGCCUCAGCACCCUCACAGGGAAGAACUUCUGCCUUAGAUCUAACCUGAACUUCCCCUGUUUCAGUUUGAACCCAUCACCCCUUGUCCUAUCGCUACAGUCCCUGAUGAAGAGUCCCUCUCCAGCAGCCUUGUAGCCCCCUUCAGACACUGGAAGCUGCUCUGAGGUCUCCACGCAGCUUCUCUUCUCCAGGCUGAACAGCCCCAAUGUUCUCAGCCUGUCUUCAUACGGGAGGUGCUCCAGCCCCUGAUCAUUCCUGUGGCCUCCUCUGGACUUGCUCCAACAGCUCCAUGUCCUUCUGAUGUUGGAGACACCAGAACUGCACACAAUACAGUCAAAAGGAAUGAGACUGACCUCCAGAGUAAAAGGCAAGUGUGUAAUGCAACUUCAUGCUUAGGGAGUGCCUGUGGUGGCCCAAGUGCUGUAUGAAAACAAACCAACCAACUUGUUUUUACAUUUUCAUCGUGAUUUGUACUUCGUACAAUUAAGCUGAUUCUUCCCUUCAUCUACGUUUCCAUGGCAGUUUAGCGCAAUAGAAGAGAGGACACAGGCUGGCUUUCCGAGGAACUCUGAUAUAAAAAUGUGGGUUUAAGAAUGAGUCAGCUUUGCUUCACUAGAAUGUCUGUCAAUGGAUAAAUACUCUAGUCUUUCAUGGUUCAGUAGGUCGGUAUGUACCAUAAUUCAUUGCUUGGAAACUCUUGUUCAGCUAAAAUGACACCUUUGUUCAACUGACAUUUUGAAAUUCCCUGCUUUAUUUUUGUCUGUACUAACACCAUCAUCUUGUCCUUUCUCACCAGCAGAUGACAAAGCCCUCUCUAAAAAGAGGAGUGGCAUUAUCUACUGUAGCUCAGUGCAUGGAGGAGAAGGGUUUGUUCCAGGUGACAGAGAAGGGAGCCAUACCGGUUUGACGAGCUCCAGGACCUGGAUUCUCGAGCCCGUCACUUAAAGAUGCUGGUGACAAGACUCUCUUCUCCCCCUCCAUGCAAGGGGCCAACCUCCAUCCUGAUCCUGGUGAAAAGCAGACGCACAGCACAGUGCUUUGCAGAGAGCCGAGGCUGCCAUUACAGCUGAGCAGUGAUUGGGGAUUGCAGCAGAUAAAACUUGCGUGUCCAUCUCCCACACUUCACAUCUAGGACACCUUCUGUCAUAAUCUUCAGAAAAUCUAGAGGCAGAAAUCAAAGCUGAAGUGUGUCAUUAUCCAGCACUAGCUUAUUGUUAAAUGCAUGUGCAUUUGCUUGGCUUUUCAGAGUUCUUGCCUUUGUCAGUUGGCUUGCUGGUGAGUACCGUGGCCGGUGUGAAACACGUUACAGAGCGUCUUGAUCUCCUGUAGACUGUGUGUGGAAUGAACUGGUAGAUUCAGAGUGGUAAGUGAUAUGAACUCCACACCACUUGCAAAGCUCUCCGGGCAACCACCAGUUCUUAAAGAGCAUCUUCACGUACUUCUUAAAUUUUUCCCCCAUGAAGAAGUAGAUGACUGGAUUGAGGCAACAGUGAGAAAGGCCGAGGAUUUCUGUUACCUGGAAAGCAUAGUCCAGAUUCCUGCUUGCUUGACAGUCUCUAAAGACUCCCAUGACUUCCAGCAGUUGUAAAAAGAUAACAAUGUUGUAAGGGGUCCAAAAGAAGAAAAACACAAUCAUGACAGCAAAGAUCAUCCUCACAGCCUUAUUCUUUUUCUCAUUUCUACAGUGAACUAAUGUUUUAAUGAUCAUGGAGUAGCAAAAUGUCAUAACUAUAAGAGGGAUUAGAAGCCCUAAGAUGUUGAUUUCCAAAGUACAAAAAAGCUUCCAUGUUGUGAAAUUGCCUGGAUAUCUUGGCUUGCAGGUAGUAUAAUUCUGUUCAUUAAAAGAUUCUGUGAAUACAA
Molecule: long non-coding RNA, 5288 nt
Organism: Strigops habroptila (Kakapo)
Lineage: Eukaryota; Metazoa; Chordata; Aves; Psittaciformes; Psittacidae
Exons: 2
Source: RefSeq, a predicted model, not a curated record